GUGGGGAAUAUUCCGCAAUGGACGAAAGUCUGACGGAGCAACGCCGCGUGAGUGAUGAAGGUUUUCGGACUGUAAAGCUCUGUUGUUUAGGACGAAAGUGCCUGUUGCAAACAGUUACAGGUAUUGACGGUACUAAACGAGGAAGCCACGGCUAACUACGUGCCAGCAGCCGCGGUAAUACGUAGGUGGCAAGCGUUGUCCGGAAUUAUUGGGCGUAAAGAGCAUGUAGGCGGGAAUCUAAGUCUGUUGUGAAAAUGCGGGGCUCAACCCCGUAUUGCGAUGGAAACUGGGUUUCUUGAGUGCAGGAGAGGAAAGGGGAAUUCCCAGUGUAGCGGUGAAAUGCGUAGAUAUUGGGAGGAACACCAGUGGCGAAGGCGCCUUUCUGGACUGUGUCUGACGCUGAGAUGCGAAAGCCAGGGUAGCGAACGGGAUUAGAAACCCCAGUAGUCC
This 450-nucleotide ribosomal RNA is filed under the name uncultured bacterium. RNAcentral's name for it is "partial 16S ribosomal RNA". It matches the Rfam family "Bacterial small subunit ribosomal RNA", at positions 354 to 796 of the family's 1533-position model. The record is from RNAcentral.